GGCGGAGUGUAGCACAGUGGGUAAGGAACUGGGCUUGUAACCGAAAGGUCGCAGGUUCGAUUCCUGGGUAAGGACACUGCCG
This 82-nucleotide transfer RNA is filed under the name Anguilla anguilla (European eel). Its description in RNAcentral is "tRNA-OTHER". The record is from RNAcentral. Lineage: Eukaryota; Metazoa; Chordata; Actinopteri; Anguilliformes; Anguillidae.